RNAcentral lists this ribosomal RNA (336 nucleotides) under Chondrocephalus salvadorae. RNAcentral's name for it is "partial 12S ribosomal RNA". The record is from RNAcentral. Lineage: Eukaryota; Metazoa; Arthropoda; Insecta; Coleoptera; Passalidae.
AAAAUUAGUAAUAGUUAUGUUCUUGAAAAUUAAAAAAUUUGGCGGUAUUUUAAAUUUUUAGAGGAACCUGUUCUGUAAUUGAUAAUCCACGAUUAAAUGUACUUAUUUUAAGUUUAUAUAUCGUUGUAGAUAAAUAUUUUGUAAGAAAAGUAAUAUUUGUAAUAUUAAUGAUUUAUAAGGAUUCAAAUCAAGAUGUAGCUAUAAAUAAGAAGAAAUGGGUUACAAUUAUUUUAAUAUUGGUUUAGUUAUUUUGAAUGACUAUAAAAGUGGAUUUAAUAGUAAUUUAAUAUAUAAUUUUUAAAUGAAUAAAAUUAUGAAAUAUGUACAUAUUGCCCG